Molecule: microRNA precursor, 63 nt
Organism: Gorilla gorilla gorilla (western lowland gorilla)
Lineage: Eukaryota; Metazoa; Chordata; Mammalia; Primates; Hominidae
Source: Ensembl
UGGGCUAGAGAGGGGAAGGAUGUGAUGUGAGCAGAUGGUUCUCACUCAUUCUCCUCUGUCCAG